GCUUACAGAGUUGAGAGCACCGAGUGUGGGAACUCAGGGACUACUAUUCUGAGCACAAUUGAGAAAACUAUGUUUCGUCCCAUUGCAUGUGCUUGUCUUUGAUCUCAAAUUGAAAAUCUCUCAGCCUCUUCCUCCAAUCCAAAAGCAAAUAAAUACUGAGAGAAAGAAACCUUUCUCCUCUCAGCAUGUAGGGCCUCCACAACUGAAAAAUGAAGGUAGCUGUAAGAGCUCUGAUGAACCUGUUUGGACAACAGACAGAAAAAAAAAAAUACCUGUCUUGGUGGAGGAGUUUAAGAACACUGCAGAGAUCAUCAGGCAGUACAGAAUAUCUUGGCUCACACGGGCCAUUCUCUUUAUCUCAAAACAAUACCAGCCAAGCUCCUCCGUUCCUACAACUGAAGAGCUGCGGGAGCAGGAGGACAGUAACUAAUACAGCUUUUAAAUAUGAAUCUCCUUGUCCUGUUAAGAAAAAGAAAGAAAAAUAAGGAGAAAUACGUUAAUUCCAAGCAAGGCAAGAUAUCUGAUUCCAAGGAAGAAAACUAUCCACGGCAGGUUGAAGCCACAGGGGCAGUUCUGAAUUGCCUUUCUCCAUCCAACUACUUUACUUCAAAAGAUGUCCCUUCGAAAAACAGCAACUCCCAGGGAUCAAUGCAUAAAACGAUGCCGGGGUCUUGCUGAGCCCUUGCCAAUGCUCGGAGGCUGUGCCGAGCAGGAGGAUUGCAGUGAACCUCUUCCCAUGUCCUGGGGGAGCCAAAUGCCAAGUGUGGCAAAACCCUCCAGGGAGGUAACACAGUGGAUGAUUGAUUGUACCCGCCAGCUGGCUAAUAUCAUAAUUAACAAAGUUGCUACCAUGUCUGAGAAGUUUAAUCGAAAAAAUUGCCGGCAGUAUGAUGCCAUUGUCACAGAGAUCACAAGCACAGCAGUGUUGACUUUUGCACUGGUGGAGCCGCAGGACUAUGUAGAUGUGCUGAAAAGUCGUUCGCUGGGAUAACUGAAGUGAGAUGUGAUUGCAGACAGCGCGCGGCCGGGCUGUGGUGGAACUGGCCAGUGGCAACCUGCCUUUGCGGUGCUGGCUCCCGCCGGAGCAGCCGUGCCACGGGGAUGCUGAGCUUGGGAGCAGUGCCUGCCAGGAGCCUUCGCGUGCAGGAAUGCCGGCAGGAGAGCAUGGAGCGUCAGCGAGGUUUAGCUGGUGGAUCAUAUUGUGAAAACUGCAGCCAUGAAAGGCCCUCCAUUUAGUGCACCCUUCAAAACGAAAUGCUAGCAUGGGAGGCUAAGCUGGAGGCUAAUAACGAGGGAGUCAGUGGAGGAGACCAAUGCCACAAGGGUUAUCUCACAGCCCCAGAUGCUGGAUAAGUUGAAGGAGGCAGAAUCGCUUUUGGAUGACAUUCAGGAAGGCCUUGAAUGAUUAUCUGGUGGAGUAAAGACUAUUCUUUUCAAGGUUUUUUUCCCUAGAUGCUGCAAUGAUCUAUUAAGAAUCCUUUUUGAGACAAAGGAUCCACUCCACCUCCAACCUAAGGAAAUGCUUUGAAGGAAUUGACAAGCUCACUUUUAAUCACAAGAGAGAAAUUACCCACAUGGAGUCAGCAGAAAAUGAAAAAGUAGAGCUCGUGCUGCUAAUAAUUCCAGCAAGUGCCAAGGGGCUAGUUGAGAAAUGGCUUCAUGAGGUGAAUAUCUUUAGCUCUUACUUAGGGUUUGGUUACUGUAUGAUCAUUUUCUCUUUUAGGAGCAAUGAAUAUUAUAAGUGUAUACUAAAUAGCUCUCUGAAUAUUUGUCAAGAUGUUGACAGAUUUCAGCCUUAUUGUUGUUAUUUAUUGCAACUAAUUUAGCAUCUGCAAACAUGCAGAAAUUAAUUCUAAUAAAAAGCUCUCUUGAAUCAGGCUGUCAGCAGAAGUUGGUCUGUGUCUGAAACCAUAUGUGUGAAUAUAUGUUUGAGUCUACAUGUAUGUGUUUUUGUGCUUUCGUGGUGUAAUGUCUGUAGUUCAGGAGGAUAAUAUGUAAAAAGUAAUCAAAGAAAUGUAAGAUUUUAAAUGCUUCCCUCCACCCUGCAGAAAGUGUGUCCCAUUGUGUUGGAGGGGUUUAAUAUCCAAUCAUUUUAACAAAAGGGAAGAGAAAUUAUGUCACUGAUAACAUCCUAACCUUUCCCCUUCGGGCCUCUAAUCUAAAUUCAUUGGUUUCAGCACGAAAUUAGUUUGGUGACCUUUUUUGUUUGCUUUGUUUAACCUUCCUCUCCCAGUGGAUGGGAAUGGGACCUUCCAUUCUUUUUUCUUUCUGGGCACAUUUCUUCCAUGUGCUUCCCUUUUUCCUGGGGCAGGAGCAGCCCCAGGAAUUUCCCCUUUGUUCACUGCUGCAGGUACUGGUCUCGUCCUCAGGGGCUUGUCCCGGAGUGCUCCCUAGGCAAGGAUAAGUGACAGGGACCAGCACCCAGCGCCAGCAGGGGAAGUGAGGAGAGGCUGGGGAUUGCUGUUUGUACAGCCAGAUGGUUGGGCAGAGACUGGGGGCAAUCCCUGGGCCGUGAAACCUGGAGCAGGUGGCAGGUUAAAGGUGUUUGGCCCUAUUCUUAUCGUGUUCCUACUGGCUGUGUGAGCAAAGCCAGGCUGCAUAAGCCCGCUCGUGAAUCCCCUUUUCCUACACACUGAAGCAGCAAUGUGACAGCCUUGGAUGGAGGCCCUUUUGGGCGCGACUGCACAUGGUUUAAAGUGAUCCAGCUGCAUCAUUUUUCAGGAUAGGGCAGGGAGAAGGGAAGGGGAUGAUUUAGGCAAGCCCAAACACUUCUUACCCUGCUCUCUGUGUCAAGCCACUAGCUUGGUUUUGGACUAGUUUGCAGACAAAUUUGUCUUCCAUUAAAAAAAAAAAAAAAAAAAAGGGACAGUGGAAAAGUAGCUGUCCUGAGGAGAAACCCAGAUUCUCAAACCUAUGAUAUCAAUUUUAGUUUUCAGUUUCUUCCAUAUAUGAAACAGGGUUGAGGGAGGUGAGCAGCUGUGUUUAUUUUAAUACAUCUAUUUUAACCCUCACCUAAAAACAAAUGGGAAGGUUUGGGAGUGCAUUAAUCUGGAUCAGAUUAGUAUCUCUUUCUCCCUCAAAAGUGCAACCUGAGAUUAAUGAAUAUAAACUAGAGUUUCAUAUGCAGUCUUUAAGUCAUUUGCAUGUUUUAUGCAUGAUAAUUGAAUUUAUUUAUGCACUUCCUUUCAUUUAAUGAUUUCUCACUCUUUUCUAUGCUAUCAACAUUAUAUUAUGCAAGAAGUUGGAUUUGGUAGGCAAGAAAGGAUAGCAGUAUAUAAAUCAAACCCGAGUUAAUUUUGAGUUCUAGUGUCACUACUAGAUCAGAAUUAAUAUUGGUCCCAUGCCAGUGGGUUUACAUGGCUGCGAGAAUGUAAAAUAUUUUGGUAAAGCAGAGAUUUUAGCUUGAGACAUUUCUGAUGUGGCCUAGUUUGCUUGCAAGUGCACAAGCAAAAUUAUUUUCAAAUGGCAGUUAAAUUAUUGUAUUGACUUUUCAAUGACCCUAGAGACUUGUGUUUCUACUUGGCCAAUUAGUAGUAAUAAGAAGAUGAAUAGUAAUUACACUAAUAAAUAACUGUGUUCAGACCAGGACCUCAGUAUUAUAGUCUGGGUUAGAAAAUAAGGAUAUUUUAUAAUUUGUCUCAUUUGGUCUUUCAUCAGGAGAAAUCUGGACUUUGGAGCUAUAUAGUAAAUUUGUCAUAGCCAAGAAGGUAAAAGUCCUCGGGAUGAGAGGGUCAUAUUUGACAGGAGCUCUGUGACAGUGGCUGUUUCAGUGUCAUAAGUAGGGAAUCUUGUUCUGCUUCUGCAAUUAAGCUCAGAUUUCUUAAAGAUGUCUUAGUGUUGGAGUGCAAAUUUUUAAUAAUGCAUGCCAGGAAGUUACUAAGGAAGAUUAGGGAAAAGAUGCUGGUAGUGUGCUUUCAUAGCGUUUAUCUAUACCAGUUUCUUUUGUGUCUCUUGUCUUUCCUUAUGUCUUGAAAGAUGUAUGUGGAAGUGAUAUUUUUCUGUGGCGUCCUGUCUUUUAUCAGUGAAUUAAAUGGUUGUGUCUUGUGAUUGUUUCUUGAUUCUCGUAGGUAGGAAUGUGUUUAAAGGCUAAAGGUUUGCUAAUUUGUGAUGUAACCAUUUCAGUGUCUUUCUUGUCAUUGAAAUGUAGUUUAAAAUGUUCAGUAAUGUAGCAUGAAAUCAUUGGUUAGUUUUGGAAUGGUGAUGAAAUCAUGUGAAGAAAAUAAGUAUUGCAUCUGAUCAAGAUAAAUUCACUCUAGUGUUUUAUGGCUUUUUAUUCCUAUGUGAUAGUAAUAAAGUCUCAUGUAGGGAUGGAAGCCAUGAAAUACAUUGUGAAAAAUCAUCAACUCAGAUGGGGCCAUCAGGAUAGCAUGCUGUAGUUGUAGAGUUAUGGAGAAUGAUUGGAAGAUGGUUUAGUGUGUCAUCACUUUGACUACCAUGUUUUUGCAUUUUGCUUCUUCAUCCUUCACCCAUGUAGGUUGAUGAGAGGAAAUCAGUUUGUAACGAGAUGAUCCAUCUUUACAUCAGUGUUCAGUAUUUAAAUUGUUCAUACAUCUUUCAUUUUCUGCCAAAGAUAACACUGUAUAUGAAACACUUAGCUAAGAAUUUAAUAUAGCUAAUAAACACAUGCCAAAAUGAAUACAAAGAAAUGCCAAUGAAUUUCUAAAUGCUUGGAAAUAAGGAAGGAAACAAAGCAAGGUCUACCCUGUUAGCAACUGGUCCAGACUCUUUAUUUCCAUAUUUAAGAGCAAAUCUGAGAUGUAACCAGGGAUUUUAAACGAAUUAUUUUUUCUACUUGCAUGUCUUUCUGAAAGUGCUUUGUUCUUUUCCUCUCUGGAACUGGGAUGAAGGCUGAUAGUGUUGGGCUCAGAAAAAAAUUCCUGACAAAUUCCUUACAGUUCUGCUAUUUCACAUAUUGCCUUACUGGGCUAUCUCCUUUGCUUUUGUAUACCAGUUUCCUUUGUGAAUAUUUUGGGGAAUGUUAUUUAUUUCCAAUUUUUCUGUUGUAAUAUUUCUCUGAAGCAUAUGUUAAUAAAACAUUAUUGAUUUUUUUG
Molecule: non-coding RNA, 5051 nt
Organism: Zonotrichia albicollis (white-throated sparrow)
Lineage: Eukaryota; Metazoa; Chordata; Aves; Passeriformes; Passerellidae
Source: RefSeq, a predicted model, not a curated record